GGAGGAAAAGAAACCAACAGGGAUUGCCUUAGUAGCGGCGAGUGAAGCGGCAAAAGCUCAAAUUUGAAAUCUGGCACCUUCGGUGUCCGAGUUGUAAUUUGAAGAUUGUAACCUUGGGGUUGGCUCUUGUCUAUGUUUCUUGGAACAGGACGUCACAGAGGGUGAGAAUCCCGUGCGAUGAGAUGCCCAAUCCUAUGUAAGGUGCUUUCGAAGAGUCGAGUUGUUUGGGAAUGCAGCUCUAAGUGGGUGGUAAAUUCCAUCUAAAGCUAAAUAUUGGCGAGAGACCGAUAGCGAACAAGUACAGUGAUGGAAAGAUGAAAAGAACUUUGAAAAGAGAGUGAAAAAGUACGUGAAAUUGUUGAAAGGGAAGGGUUUGAGAUCAGACUCGAUAUUUUGUGAGCCUUGCCUUCGUGGCGGGGUGACCCGCAGCUUAUCGGGCCAGCAUCGGUUUGGGCGGUAGGAUAAUGGCGUAGGAAUGUGACUUUGCUUCGGUGAAGUGUUAUAGCCUGCGUUGAUGCUGCCUGCCUAGACCGAGGACUGCGAUUUUAUCAAGGAUGCUGGCAUAAUGAUCCCAAACCGCCCGUCUUG
This 588-nucleotide ribosomal RNA is filed under the name Meyerozyma caribbica. RNAcentral describes it as "eukaryotic LSU rRNA". It matches the Rfam family "Eukaryotic large subunit ribosomal RNA", at positions 52 to 656 of the family's 3401-position model. Lineage: Eukaryota; Fungi; Ascomycota; Pichiomycetes; Serinales; Debaryomycetaceae. The record is from RNAcentral.